ACUCAAAUGAAUUGACGGGGGCCCGCACAAGCAGCGGAGCAUGUGGUUUAAUUCGAAGCAACGCGAAGAACCUUACCUGGGCUUGACAUAUGGUGGAAAACCGUGGAAACACGGUCCCUCUUCGGAGCCGCUAUACAGGUGGUGCAUGGCUGUCGUCAGCUCGUGUCGUGAGAUGUUGGGUUAAGUCCCGCAACGAGCGCAACCCUCGUCGUAUGUUGCCAGCAUUUAGUUGGGGACUCAUACGAGACUGCCGGUGACAAACCGGAGGAAGGCGGGGACGACGUCAAGUCAUCAUGCCCCUUAUGUCCAGGGCUACACACGUGCUACAUUGGCGCGUACAGAGGGCUGCGAUACCGUGAGGUGGAGCGAAUCCCUUAAAGCGCGUCUCGGUUCGGAUUGUAGGCUGAAACUCGCCUACAUGAAGGCGGAGUUGCUAGUAAUCGCAGAUCAGAACGCUGCGGUGAAUACGUUCCCGGGCCUUGCACACACCGCCCGU
Molecule: ribosomal RNA, 496 nt
Filed under: uncultured bacterium
Lineage: Bacteria
Description: bacterial SSU rRNA
Rfam family: Bacterial small subunit ribosomal RNA
Source: RNAcentral